AGGCAGGAAACACAUGAUCAUUGAUGUUCAGCUUGAUUACCACAACAACAGAGUUUAUUCUUUGUGCGAAGUGUUGCGCAUCACUAUGCCUCCCUCCACAUCAAGUGCAUCAAGGAUUCAGGAUGAUAAUGUUGUAGAUGCCAACGAUGAGGAUUAUUGAUGUGUAUAUUGUGCCACAUUCAAAAUUAUUUUCUGAACUGCAUGUUCAUAGAUGGUGAUCACUAGCUUGCCACCGCAUGAAGGACCUAACCUGAGCUUUCA
Molecule: long non-coding RNA, 261 nt
Organism: Lolium rigidum
Lineage: Eukaryota; Viridiplantae; Streptophyta; Magnoliopsida; Poales; Poaceae
Exons: 3
Source: RefSeq, a predicted model, not a curated record